CAUAGAAUAUAAUAGAUGAAUCAAUGGAGUUCCAAUCACAAAUCUCUCUAUGAUUUUCUCUCCUAAAACUCUCUCUCUCUCUUGUUGAAAGUAAGAAUACAAUGGUGGCUAAAAGCUCUUCUUGCCUCCUAACACUUAGGCAAGUAUAUAACUAUUAGGUUAAAAACUCGUCAGGGGUAAUCUUGUAAUUCGUUGAACCUUGGGUUUAAAGUCGGCUGGAACCAAGUCGCGCAUCUCGCGUCUCGACAUCGAUCGAUGGUACAGGAUGUACAUCGAUCGAUCAUAAUCUUCAAUCGUCGAGGCUUCUCUUCUGUAUCGAUCGGCGGCACUGGAUGUGCAUCGAACGAUUACUUCUUCUUCGUAUCGACCUUUAAUGGUCAGCUCGGAUGAAAUCUCUUUUAAGCUCCUAAAUGCUCCAUAAUCAUCACUUUACUCCAAGAUACUCCUGAACCUGAAAACAUUCUAAUAAAUAGAAUAUAUAAUAUAUAGAUAGUAAAACAAUUAUAUACCAUGGAUGAAAAUGAGUCAAAUCCAUGGUAUAUCAGUCAUCAAAAUUGGUUUACCUUUUCCGUCACACAUCCGUUUAGAAAUCCAGAGUUAAAGCUUCAAAGAUCCUAUUGACUUAACCGUAGUCUUAGUGGACGGUUAAGUUUCACCGAUUAUGGAGACAAUUUGAGGCGGAGGAAUUAAAGGAAUCAAAUCGAACUAAGCUUCCAUGGAGGCGUUGGUGACCGGAGGAGAAGCGUCACGGCGGAGAGAUAGAAUGGAUGCAUGGUUGACGCGUGUCAUAGGCGUGGAUAGACAUGGCAACACAUCUUUCGGAACCGAAGACGCCUUUUGUUAAAGUCGGUUUGAUUUGUUUUGUCCCUUAAAUGGGCUUUAAUGUAUUAAAUAUUAUGACUCAUCUUGUAUGCCCAUCGGGC
This 923-nucleotide long non-coding RNA is filed under the name Brassica napus (rape). Its description in RNAcentral is "long non-coding RNA (BNAP_LNC022607)". Lineage: Eukaryota; Viridiplantae; Streptophyta; Magnoliopsida; Brassicales; Brassicaceae. The record is from RNAcentral.